This 1488-nucleotide ribosomal RNA is filed under the name Escherichia coli. RNAcentral describes it as "bacterial SSU rRNA". It matches the Rfam family "Bacterial small subunit ribosomal RNA". Lineage: Bacteria; Pseudomonadati; Pseudomonadota; Gammaproteobacteria; Enterobacterales; Enterobacteriaceae. The record is from RNAcentral.
CCGGUUCGGUUGAAGAGAAAAAAUCCUGAAAUUCAGGGUUGACUCUGAAAGAGGAAAGCGUAAUAUACGCCACCUCGCGACAGUGAGCUGAAAGCCGCGUCGCAACUGCUCUUUAACAAUUUAUCAGACAAUCUGUGUGNGGGAUAACUACUGGAAACGGUAGCUAAUACCGCAUAACGUCGCAAGACCAAAGAGGGGGACCUUCGGGCCUCUUGCCAUCGGAUGUGCCCAGAUGGGAUUAGCUAGUAGGUGGGGUAACGGCUCACCUAGGCGACGAUCCCUAGCUGGUCUGAGAGGAUGACCAGCCACACUGGAACUGAGACACGGUCCAGACUCCUACGGGAGGCAGCAGUGGGGAAUAUUGCACAAUGGGCGCAAGCCUGAUGCAGCCAUGCCGCGUGUAUGAAGAAGGCCUUCGGGUUGUAAAGUACUUUCAGCGGGGAGGAAGGGAGUAAAGUUAAUACCUUUGCUCAUUGACGUUACCCGCAGAAGAAGCACCGGCUAACUCCGUGCCAGCAGCCGCGGUAAUACGGAGGGUGCAAGCGUUAAUCGGAAUUACUGGGCGUAAAGCGCACGCAGGCGGUUUGUUAAGUCAGAUGUGAAAUCCCCGGGCUCAACCUGGGAACUGCAUCUGAUACUGGCAAGCUUGAGUCUCGUAGAGGGGGGUAGAAUUCCAGGUGUAGCGGUGAAAUGCGUAGAGAUCUGGAGGAAUACCGGUGGCGAAGGCGGCCCCCUGGACGAAGACUGACGCUCAGGUGCGAAAGCGUGGGGAGCAAACAGGAUUAGAUCCCCUGGUAGUCCACGCCGUAAACGAUGUCGACUUGGAGGUUGUGCCCUUGAGGCGUGGCUUCCGGAGCUAACGCGUUAAGUCGACCGCCUGGGGAGUACGGCCGCAAGGUUAAAACUCAAAUGAAUUGACGGGGGCCCGCACAAGCGGUGGAGCAUGUGGUUUAAUUCGAUGCAACGCGAAGAACCUUACCUGGUCUUGACAUCCACNGUGAGACAGGUGCUGCAUGGCUGUCGUCAGCUCGUGUUGUGAAAUGUUGGGUUAAGUCCCGCAACGAGCGCAACCCUUAUCCUUUGUUGCCAGCGGUCCGGCCGGGAACUCAAAGGAGACUGCCAGUGAUAAACUGGAGGAAGGUGGGGAUGACGUCAAGUCAUCAUGGCCCUUACGACCAGGGCUACACACGUGCUACAAUGGCGCAUACAAAGAGAAGCGACCUCGCGAGAGCAAGCGGACCUCAUAAAGUGCGUCGUAGUCCGGAUUGGAGUCUGCAACUCGAUUCCAUGAAGUCGGAAUCGCUAGUAAUCGUGGAUCAGAAUGCCACGGUGAAUACGUUCCCGGGCCUUGUACACACCGCCCGUCACACCAUGGGAGUGGGUUGCAAAAGAAGUAGGUAGCUUAACCUUCGGGAGGGCGCUUACCACUUUGUGAUUCAUGACUGGGGUGAAGUCGUAACAAGGUAACCGUAGGGGAACCUGCGGUUG